GAUAGUUUGAGGAGGGUUAAUAACCAAUUUAUCAGAAUGUCAUAAUAUUUGAUCAUAUGGCGUAGAAACGAAAUAGCUACAUUUCAUAAAGUAGUUAUUUGAACACGUGUCUCUAUAAAAUGCUCCCAACUACUGAUAUUAUGUUAUAAUUUAGGUAUAUUCGAUGGUUUAUUUUUUUUGUUCCGACACAAAAGUUUGUAAUCUGCGUUAAAAACUAUAAUUAUCCUAAAUCGUUUUACAGAUUGAAGGUAUCAAUUCGUCACCUUAAAAAUCGAUUAUCGACUUCACCUUUUCUCUAUUGAACAACGCCAGAUUUCAAUCAACAACCGUUCCAUUUCAUCAGAACUGAUUCAAGCAGCUAAAUAUUUCGAUUCGGUAACAGUUUUCGUCACGUAUUAUAAUGAAGUUGAUGUUUUUAAUUAGUUCCCUAUGUUAUUUUAUAUUACUGUAUGUUUUUUCUACAAAUGCCAACGUCGGGUGUGGCCAGGAUUGUUUUCCAGUUACCGAAUUAUCCGACCCCGAGCACUGUAUUCGUAACCCUGAAAAAAGAAAUCUAUGUAAAGGAAAACCANUUUUACACUAUUAUUAUUUUAAAAAUUAAUCAGUCAUUCAUUAAACUGUUUAAUGUUAUAUCUAUUUAUCUAAAAAAAUAUAAUAAGCGCUCGCACCGAAGUCAUAAAAAUGUAUUCUGGCAAAACAAAUUUCGAGUGACCCCUUUGACUAAACACAAGCCUUUUAAUGCCCAAAGAUAUUUGUUAGGUUUGGCAAAUAAACUCUGGUCCAAAAUGUUACCAUUCCAAAUUAUCAUCUCGCCUAACUUUUAAAAGAAACGUCAAAGAAAAAUAUCAAUGUUUUUUUUUUAUCAUUCCAGAAGAGUCAGUAUCCGAUCUAUAACUUUCAUUAAUUACAUUUAAAUAUGAGUCAAAUAAAAUUAGGCAAUAUAAACACAACAUCAAUCGGCUCUUUGAUGAUACCGCCGUGUCGUCAUCAUUCUCUCGCACUAUAUACCAUUAUAAUUAUUUCUAUGCAAAUUUCUAAUCAAAACGUAACACUAUUUUUUUUUAUGGUUCACCUUUUGUUUUGGCUUAUAUAAACAUAUAAAAUUAAAUGGUUAUUUAAAUUGAAAAUGAAGCGUCUUGAUCCCUCGAGAAAUUCCAAGUCGAUCACUCUAUCGAGAAUCCUGCACACAGCAACAACUACGUUUCACCAACUUCUUUUGAUGAUCUCUUUCAAAAAGCUUACUCCGACAUUUACCAGCUAUAAUAACUCGUGUUCGAUUUAUUUAUUAAUUUACUUUAUCGAUUAUUGUUUGUCCAUGGUGCACAAAUUCAUAAUGAACAAUGUCUUCAAUAUCAAAAAAAUUAUAAAAAUUAUAUAUAAUUUGCCGAUAAAAAAUAUCAGCGUUGUCUUGACAUUCGAUUUACUUGGCGAGCUUUUUUUGGUCGAGCAGAAAAUUUUGUUUUCCACUGAGAUGACUGUAACUGUGUUUCCGGGUUGUACCCAUAAACCCAUGUCGUCCCCUGUAAUGAUGUGUUUUAUGAAAUUUAUAUCAGCAGAUCGAUUUUUAAGGUCUUGACAAAUCUUUAAUCGAUUUUCCUUUUGUUCCGAUGUCAACAUGCGUGGAAUGAAUUUAGCAGCUACCCUUCUCAUCUGUACAUUUUCCGUUAAAAUUUCAUGACAAGAUACAAUUGGAAUUCCUGCUUCAUUCGCUAACUCGCGAACAGUUAAUCUGUGGUUAUUUCGAAGUUUUUCUUAAAUGUUCGCCACAACAUCAUCGUUUCUAGAUGUCGAUAGUCUUCCAGAACGUGGAUCAUCUUUAAUUGACUAUCGACUAUCCUUGAAACGAUUAAACCACUCGAAAGUAACGGAGUGACUUAAAGAAUCGUCUCCAAAAGCAGUUUUAAUCAUUGUGUACGUUUCAGUUGCAUUUUUACCAAAUUUCAAGCAAAAUUUGAUGCACACACGUUGUUCGUUAAUUUCGGACAUGACGAGAACGGAGAAGGAAACAAACUGUAUAGAUUUAACCACGUAGAAUAUUAAACUGAGAUAAAAUAGCGACUUCGGGUUUUGUUCAAAAUAUUCUCUAAUACGUUGGGAAUACAUCUAAUUAUAAUUUAAAACGUUAUCAUGUAUAGAUUAGCCGCAAUAAUAUUUGUCCUGGUACUUUUUAACAGACCUCGUACACCUACCAUCAACAUUAAUGCCCCGGUUACAGAAAAGAUAUCGCAACCAAAAAGAAAUAGUCGCUUUAUCAUGGAGUGCGGACAUUAUUUUUUACUAGCUUUUAAUAAAACUUUGACGGAAAAAUAGAUUAAAUCGUAAUAUUGUAGACAGUUUUGGGCUUACCAUUACUAUACCAAUUAAUUAUAUGCACUGCUUUAUAAAUAUAUUACAUUAACCAAUUUAAUUAUCUAUACAUUUGUAGUAAUUUAAUUUAAAUUUACACCAAGUUGGAACAUAGGAGAUAUGCGAGCGGUGAUGAGCAAUUUAUCAGAAUGUCAUUAUAUUUGAUCAUAUGGCGUAAAAAAGAAUAGCCGCGUUUUAUAAAAUGGUGAAUACUUUUUUGAACACAUGUUUAUGAAUAAUGCUCCCCUACUUAUAAAAUUACAUUAUGAUUUAGAUAUAUAUUGAUUGAUUAUUUUUUUGUUACGAAUCAUAAGCCCGUAAUAUGAGUAGAAAACUAAAAUUAUUCUGAAUCGGUUUUUUAGGUUGACGGUAUUUUCCCAUCAAUUCUUGAUUUCAAACCGCAAUUAUCGUCCUCAAAAUUUCUUCAUUGACCAGCGCCAAACUUCAAACAAAAUUUUUACUAGUACAUUCAACUUAUAACAGUGGCUGCAUCCGUAAACAUUAAACUAAGACGUCUUUUUUGUUUUACUAGCUUUUAAUAAAACUAUGACAGAAAAACAGAUUUAAUCAUAAUAUUAUAGACAGUAUUGGGCUCACCAUUAUUAUACCUAUUACUUUUAUACACUGCUGUAUAAAUAUAAUAUAUUAAUCAAUACAAUUAUCUAUAAUUUUUUAAUAAUUUAAUUAAAAUGUACACCAGGUUGGAACACACGGGAUAUGUCAAGCUGCGAUAAGCAAUUUAUCAUAAUACCAUUACAUUUGAUCAUAUGAAAUAGAAAAAAAAAUACCGCGUUUUAUAAAAAGGUGAAUAAUUAUUUAAACACAUGUCUGUAAAUAAUGCUCCCUACUAAUAAAAUAACAUUAUGAUUUAGGUAUAUUCGAUGAUUUAUUUUUUUGUUACGAAACAUAAGCACGUAAUCUACAUUGAAAACUAUNAACAGCAAUUAUCGUCUCCGAAAUUUCUCCAUUGACCAGCGCCAAACUUCAAUCAACAUCCGUUCAAUUCGAUCGGAAUUGAUUUAGGCAACUGAAUACACUCAUUUGGUAAAAUUAUUCUUCAUGUAUUAAAAUGAAGUUGAUGUUUUUAAUUAAUUGCAUAUGUUAUAUUUUAUUACUGUAUGUAUUUUCAACGAAUGCCAACUCCAAUUGUGGCUCUGGAUGUGUUCCUCUUGUCGAUAAACCCGACGGUGAUAUCUGUAGUGAUAACCCUGAUAAAACAGUAAUAUGUUUUGGGAAUCCAGGGUGUACAUGUUGUUGUCCCAACUAAAAACUAUGUGCAAAAGACAUACAUAUAAAAUAAAAAUUAAAUAAAAUAUAUAUAAUUUUCAAAAAUGUAAUUCUUUGCGAUUUCAGUAUAAUAUUCUACCUCUUGUCACUUAAUUAAUAUAUUCUGAAUUUCAAAUAUCAUCACCAAUAAGACACAAUUAAUAACUUCAACAAUAUUAAGGGAAUGCGGGGUUAGAUGAUACAAUUUUGGUAUAUUUAUUUUUAUUAAUUUUCAUAUACGUGGUUAGUCCAUUUUAGUCAGUUGUCACAUUUUGAUAAAAAUUUUAAUUGAAAUUAAUCUAAUUUAAUUAUAAAUAAUAUAUUGUAUGAGAUGUCAAAAUAUAACAACUUGUCCCAUAGUUGGGUAAGUAGUUACAUUCUAUGGGUUAGUUGUUACACUAUAACUUGUAUGUAUGUACCUACCUUAAUCAUGUAUUAAUAUAGUAAAAUAUUUGUUAUAUUUAACAAAUCGUAAUCAAUAGUUAUGUUUUUAUAAACCUUAUAACAUUAUUGUUAAUAAAUUUUAAUUGAACAAUCGAACAACUAUCUAGUACUAUUUAAAAUUUUGAGUGACCGCUAUAACUAUACACAGGCCAUUUUAUGACCAAAAUUAUGAUUAUCUUAGGGUUUUUAUUUCUAUAAUCAAGUAUUUGUUUGGUUUGGCAAUUACCUUUGGCUCAAAGUGAAUCUAAACCGAAUUAGCUUCACGCCUAAUUUUAAAUAAGAAGGGUAGGGCAAAAGUUCGGCUUAAACAUAAGAUUCGGCGCCAUUGCUAAUAGGUACCUACAAUUUGACUCUGCUGUCC
Cinara cedri is the source of this 4417-nucleotide non-coding RNA. The record is from the annotation of a GenBank genome assembly. Lineage: Eukaryota; Metazoa; Arthropoda; Insecta; Hemiptera; Aphididae.